GCGAAACAGACAAACUAGAACUCUGGCCAGAGGAAGGACCUGAACGCAAAGCAGCAGCUUUGGUCUACACUGACUGCUGUAUUAGAACAAAAUGUGUAAGAUGAGGAGAGUAAGGCUGGGAGAGACGGAGUGCCUCGUUCAAGGUCACACAGCCAAGAAGUCUUGGUAUUGAAAACUGGGCCUAAGAGACUUCUGAGCCAGGAUCUUUCCACCCCACGGUCUCUGAGUUUGGGUGAGCAUGAAAUGAAAUGCACCUCGCCCAGUGCCCACAGGAGCCCAGGACAUCUUGGGUGCCACCCCCCAGCCUGGGGAGACAAUGAGGAUGGACCUAGGACCCACCUAGUUCCUGUACCAGCCUCUCCUGUCCUUUCUAGGGCAUAAACACCCUUCCCACGUGCUCAGGACUGUCUGCUGAAUCAAGGCAUUCAGAGUGGACUGAGAAGCCUGUGCAAGGCGGCGCCUGCCCCUGCCACUGCCUCUGCCAGGUCCAGGGCUCAAGUCUGACAUCUCUGAAGCCCAGUGCCCAGGAGAGAACCAGACAGUGGGUGUGGUUGAUCAAAGAGGAGAAAUGGAUCUGGGUAGUACAUGCUUUCUUAACUAUACACCUGCCCUAUGAGCCAGCAACGCCACUCCUGAGUAUAUACCCAAGACGUGAGUGCAUAUGGCCACCCAGAGACCCGACACACGUGUUCGUGGCAGCCGUGUUCCUCAUGGACCCAAACCGGAAACAACUCAAUGCCAUCAGCAGGAGCCUGGAUAAACGAGUCGUGCAGUUCUACGACGAGGUCCUACACAGCAAUUGGAAGGAAAUGACCCACCGGCAUGUGCAACAACGUGGAUGAAUCACACCUUUAUUAUGUGGAGCCCACGAAGCCAGACGAAAGAGUACUUACUGUAUUAUGCCACGCACACGAAGAUCAAGAAGAGGCAAAACCACUCCAGAUGAUAGAUGACAGGAUAGUGGUUACCUCUGCCGGUGGAUAUAGACUGGGUAGGGGCAGAAGGGAACUUCCUGGGGUGCUGGAAAUGUCUACACCUUGAUCUGGGUGUGGGUACGUGGGCGUACAUACAUAUGUAAAAAAUUAUCAAACCAUACCCUUAUACACACACUUUACUGUGUGGAUGUUCUACCACAUUCAAAAAUAAAAAAUUUUAAAGUACAUACAAGCUAAAAAACAAAAAAAGUACAUGGUCACUAUUAGGAGUUGACAAGUG
Long non-coding RNA from Equus caballus (horse), 1215 nucleotides. The record is from Ensembl. Lineage: Eukaryota; Metazoa; Chordata; Mammalia; Perissodactyla; Equidae.